GUGCACUUCAACACCCUACUAUCACCCAACAAAGAAUUCUGGCCACAGAAUCACCUUGCUGCGGUAUUCCUGACUGAAUCAAGAUACGCUGGGGAAGAGGCAUCUGAAGAUAGCCCGGGUUCUGACCUCGGCCCUGCUGCCUAACUGCCUGGUGACUUCAGCGCAAGGCCUCGCUGAAGCGAACCCAUCGUGGGAAGGGCGCGGAGAAAGCGGGGAGAAAGAGCAGGGGGACGUCGGGCCUGCGCCUGGCACCGCCGCUACCUGGAUUCGCGGGCCCCUCACACACUCACCUGCCGGUAUUCUAAUCACAGAAUUACUGGAGCAUCAAGAAGUGCCUGCAUGCUUGGAAGGGCUUCCAGGCAGAUGAACACACCUCAGCACCGGGUGGCAUUUUCCCAGGGUGCAACCCGGACCGGCUCUGGGUCACACUGACAAGCCUCUCCGACUCCCCAGGCUGGGUUGGGUGCUCCUCCCUCUCAUCCCACAGCGCUAUGUCUCAUGUCUUCUGGAAAACUUGCCAAUCCCUAGUGUAAGUGUGACUGGUCUAUUGUGAGCACCUAUUGUUCAGGGACCUCUGUUUACCUGAGGCCAGGACAAGGGCCUGGAAUGUGAGCAGGAGCAAGGGAGUGCUCGGGAAAUGGAAACAAUGAAUGAAUCAAUCAGUCAAUCAGACAACAGGGUUAACAAUUUCCAGAGACAGCCCGUACAUAGAAGGAAUGUUUACUGAAAAAAAUGAAGAGGGGUCAGGGCAAGGCGAGGAGCAAGAAGCACCCCCAAGGAAACAGAGAAGACCAGUACAACUGUACCUCUUUGCCAGCUGCACCAUCCGUACCAGGUGGCACGUUCCAGAGCCAUAGCCUCUGUUCUAUUCAUCUCCAGUCUCCUGGGGUGGAAGUGUCCAGCACAGAGACUGCCACACUGCAAGACGAAGGGGCUGGACACACGGAAGAGAGAGGCGGAACCCUGCACCCCCUCAACCUCAGCCCUACUGAGUCUCCAAUGGGGCCACGCUUCUGAGUGCACCUCCCCGUGUCAUCUGUAAUGUGAGGGGGAACCAGGCUUGAUAUGGCAUUCCCAAUCCAGGGCCUCUGGACCCCUUGAGAUGCAUAAAAAUAGUGAUGGGGGCCUGAGAGUUCUUUUUUUUUUUUUUUUUUUUUGGUCAUGAACUAUUUUUAACAUUUCCGAAAGCCUCCUGGAAAUUAUUAUGCAGCCAGCCACAACAGGGCUGCAACAAAAUGCCAGUAUCUUCGCUUUUCUCUGGAGUCCCAUCAGCUCAGUGCCGUCACACUGAUCAAAGGCACUGCCUGGCAGUCAUCUAUGUUAGUGAUGAGUAAAGUAGACAGGAAAUUCA
Molecule: long non-coding RNA, 1351 nt
Organism: Homo sapiens (human)
Lineage: Eukaryota; Metazoa; Chordata; Mammalia; Primates; Hominidae
Gene: PEF1-AS1
Product: PEF1 and COL16A1 antisense RNA 1
Exons: 6
Source: RefSeq, marked validated